UAGCUCAGUUGGUAGAGCGCUUGCCUCACAUGCACAAGGCCCUGGGUUCAAUCCCCAG
This 58-nucleotide transfer RNA is filed under the name Urocitellus parryii (Arctic ground squirrel). RNAcentral describes it as "Spermophilus parryii (Arctic ground squirrel) tRNA". It matches the Rfam family "tRNA", at positions 8 to 63 of the family's 71-position model. From Rfam's summary of the family: Transfer RNA (tRNA) molecules are approximately 80 nucleotides in length. Their secondary structure includes four short double-helical elements and three loops (D, anti-codon, and T loops). RNAcentral also lists the same sequence under 1 other name. The record is from Rfam by way of RNAcentral. Lineage: Eukaryota; Metazoa; Chordata; Mammalia; Rodentia; Sciuridae.